This 1737-nucleotide ribosomal RNA is filed under the name Salmonella enterica subsp. enterica serovar Anatum. RNAcentral's name for it is "bacterial LSU rRNA". It matches the Rfam family "Bacterial large subunit ribosomal RNA", at positions 1223 to 2925 of the family's 2925-position model. The record is from RNAcentral. Lineage: Bacteria; Pseudomonadati; Pseudomonadota; Gammaproteobacteria; Enterobacterales; Enterobacteriaceae.
GUUGGGUAGGGGAGCGUUCUGUAAGCCUGUGAAGGUGGCCUGUGAGGGUUGCUGGAGGUAUCAGAAGUGCGAAUGCUGACAUAAGUAACGAUAAAGCGGGUGAAAAGCCCGCUCGCCGGAAGACCAAGGGUUCCUGUCCAACGUUAAUCGGGGCAGGGUGAGUCGACCCCUAAGGCGAGGCCGAAAGGCGUAGUCGAUGGGAAACAGGUUAAUAUUCCUGUACUUGGUGUUACUGCGAAGGGGGGACGGAGAAGGCUAUGUUGGCCGGGCGACGGUUGUCCCGGUUUAAGCGUGUAGGCUGGUUUUCCAGGCAAAUCCGGUUCACUUUAAAACUGAGGCGUGAUGACGAGGCACUACGGUGCUGAAGCAACAAAUGCCCUGCUUCCAGGAAAAGCCUCUAAGCAUCAGGUAACAUCAAAUCGUACCCCAAACCGACACAGGUGGUCAGGUAGAGAAUACCAAGGCGCUUGAGAGAACUCGGGUGAAGGAACUAGGCAAAAUGGUGCCGUAACUUCGGGAGAAGGCACGCUGAUAUGUAGGUGAAGCGGUUUACCCGUGGAGCUGAAAUCAGUCGAAGAUACCAGCUGGCUGCAACUGUUUAUUAAAAACACAGCACUGUGCAAACACGAAAGUGGACGUAUACGGUGUGACGCCUGCCCGGUGCCGGAAGGUUAAUUGAUGGGGUCAGCGCAAGCGAAGCUCCUGAUCGAAGCCCCGGUAAACGGCGGCCGUAACUAUAACGGUCCUAAGGUAGCGAAAUUCCUUGUCGGGUAAGUUCCGACCUGCACGAAUGGCGUAAUGAUGGCCAGGCUGUCUCCACCCGAGACUCAGUGAAAUUGAACUCGCUGUGAAGAUGCAGUGUACCCGCGGCAAGACGGAAAGACCCCGUGAACCUUUACUAUAGCUUGACACUGAACAUUGAGCCUUGAUGUGUAGGAUAGGUGGGAGGCUUUGAAGUGUGGACGCCAGUCUGCAUGGAGCCGACCUUGAAAUACCACCCUUUAAUGUUUGAUGUUCUAACGUGGACCCGUGAUCCGGGUUGCGGACAGUGUCUGGUGGGUAGUUUGACUGGGGCGGUCUCCUCCUAAAGAGUAACGGAGGAGCACGAAGGUUGGCUAAUCCUGGUCGGACAUCAGGAGGUUAGUGCAAUGGCAUAAGCCAGCUUGACUGCGAGCGUGACGGCGCGAGCAGGUGCGAAAGCAGGUCAUAGUGAUCCGGUGGUUCUGAAUGGAAGGGCCAUCGCUCAACGGAUAAAAGGUACUCCGGGGAUAACAGGCUGAUACCGCCCAAGAGUUCAUAUCGACGGCGGUGUUUGGCACCUCGAUGUCGGCUCAUCACAUCCUGGGGCUGAAGUAGGUCCCAAGGGUAUGGCUGUUCGCCAUUUAAAGUGGUACGCGAGCUGGGUUUAGAACGUCGUGAGACAGUUCGGUCCCUAUCUGCCGUGGGCGCUGGAGAACUGAGGGGGGCUGCUCCUAGUACGAGAGGACCGGAGUGGACGCAUCACUGGUGUUCGGGUUGUCAUGCCAAUGGCACUGCCCGGUAGCUAAAUGCGGAAGAGAUAAGUGCUGAAAGCAUCUAAGCACGAAACUUGCCCCGAGAUGAGUUCUCCCUGAGACUUAGAGUCUCCUGAAGGAACGUUGAAGACGACGACGUUGAUAGGCCGGGUGUGUAAGCGCAGCGAUGCGUUGAGCUAACCGGUACUAAUGAACCGUGAGGCUUAACCUUACAACGCCGAAG